UUAUCGGAGAGUUUGAUCCUGGCUCAGGACGAACGCUGGCGGCGUGCCUAAUACAUGCAAGUCGAGCGGACAGAUGGGAGCUUGCUCCCUGAUGUUAGCGGCGGACGGGUGAGUAACACGUGGGUAACCUGCCUGUAAGACUGGGAUAACUCCGGGAAACCGGGGCUAAUACCGGAUGGUUGUUUGAACCGCAUGGUUCAGACAUAAAAGGUGGCUUCGGCUACCACUUACAGAUGGACCCGCGGCGCAUUAGCUAGUUGGUGAGGUAACGGCUCACCAAGGCGACGAUGCGUAGCCGACCUGAGAGGGUGAUCGGCCACACUGGGACUGAGACACGGCCAGACUCCUACGGGAGGCAGCAGUAGGGAAUCUUCCGCAAUGGACGAAAGUCUGACGGAGCAACGCCGCGUGAGUGAUGAAGGUUUUCGGAUCGUAAAGCUCUGUUGUUAGGGAAGAACAAGUGCCGUUCAAAUAGGGCGGCACCUUGACGGUACCUAACCAGAAAGCCACGGCUAACUACGUGCCAGCAGCCGCGGUAAUACGUAGGUGGCAAGCGUUGUCCGGAAUUAUUGGGCGUAAAGGGCUCGCAGGCGGUUUCUUAAGUCUGAUGUGAAAGCCCCCGGCUCAACCGGGGAGGGUCAUUGGAAACUGGGGAACUUGAGUGCAGAAGAGGAGAGUGGAAUUCCACGUGUAGCGGUGAAAUGCGUAGAGAUGUGGAGGAACACCAGUGGCGAAGGCGACUCUCUGGUCUGUAACUGACGCUGAGGAGCGAAAGCGUGGGGAGCGAACAGGAUUAGAUACCCUGGUAGUCCACGCCGUAAACGAUGAGUGCUAAGUGUUAGGGGGUUUCCGCCCCUUAGUGCUGCAGCUAACGCAUUAAGCACUCCGCCUGGGGAGUACGGUCGCAAGACUGAAACUCAAAGGAAUUGACGGGGGCGCACAAGCGGUGGAGCAUGUGGUUUAAUUCGAAGCAACGCGAAGAACCUUACCAGGUCUUGACAUCCUCUGACAAUCCUAGAGAUAGGACGUCCCCUUCGGGGGCAGAGUGACAGGUGGUGCAUGGUUGUCGUCAGCUCGUGUCGUGAGAUGUUGGGUUAAGUCCCGCAACGAGCGCAACCCUUGAUCUUAGUUGCCAGCAUUCAGUUGGGCACUCUAAGGUGACUGCCGGUGACAAACCGGAGGAAGGUGGGGAUGACGUCAAAUCAUCAUGCCCCUUAUGACCUGGGCUACACACGUGCUACAAUGGACAGAACAAAGGGCAGCGAAACCGCGAGGUUAAGCCAAUCCCAUAAAUCUGUUCUCAGUUCGGAUCGCAGUCUGCAACUCGACUGCGUGAAGCUGGAAUCGCUAGUAAUCGCGGAUCAGCAUGCCGCGGUGAAUACGUUCCCGAGCCUUGUACACACCGCCCGUCACACCACGAGAGUUUGUAACACCCGAAGUCGGUGAGGUAACCUUUAUGGAGCCAGCCGCCGAAGGUGGGACAGAUGAUUGGGGUGAAGUCGUAACAAGGUAGCCGUAUCGGAAGGUGCGGCUGGAUCACCUCCUUU
Molecule: ribosomal RNA, 1547 nt
Filed under: Bacillus velezensis
Lineage: Bacteria; Bacillati; Bacillota; Bacilli; Caryophanales; Bacillaceae
Description: bacterial SSU rRNA
Rfam family: Bacterial small subunit ribosomal RNA
Source: RNAcentral